AGGAGUGUGUUUAGCGGAUAAGAAGAUAAAAAUCUCCCAUCUGCCGUCUUUGCUUUCUCUCCUGAUUGUAUGUAUAUUUGAUCUGUAUACCAUGUCGCGUAAGUGCUUGGAUCGUCGAACACCGAGGUUCCUCCACUGUCGAUGUUUAGCCAAUAGUCAUCUGAAACACGAUUUAAAUAUGAUAAACUAAUUUUUAGUAAAAAUUUAUAUAUUUUAUUAUGUGAUUUUAAAAAAAAAAAUUUAUGAAAAUUGAAUACGAUAGGUUGUGAUUGUUGUAAUUCUCGAUUUAAUUUACCAUAAUUAACUGUAAGAACUAAAAUUUAAGUAUGGAUUAAAUCAAAAUUAAAUUAAAAGUGAGCCCAAAAUUUUCAUUAAUGACUUACAGUAUGGUCUGGCAAGGGCGGCAAAAUUAGAUGCAGCAAACAGUGAUACCACCAAGAUCAAUGCUGACUUCCAUUUCGCCAUUAAGAAGAAGAAGAAGAAGAAGGGAGAGAAUUUUAAGAGAGAUUUA
Molecule: long non-coding RNA, 511 nt
Filed under: Carica papaya (papaya)
Lineage: Eukaryota; Viridiplantae; Streptophyta; Magnoliopsida; Brassicales; Caricaceae
Description: long non-coding RNA (CPAP_LNC004016)
Source: RNAcentral